UGGGGAAUCUUGCACAAUGGGGGCAACCCUGAUGCAGCGACGCCGCGUGAGCGAUGAAGCCCUUCGGGGCGUAAAGCUCUUUCGACCGGAACGAUAAUGACGGUACCGGGAGAAGAAGCUGCGGCUAACUACGUGCCAGCAGCCGCGGUAAUACGUAGGCAGCGAGCGUUGUUCGGAGUUACUGGGCGUAAAGAGUGCGUAGGCGGUUUUCUAAGUUCGGUGUGAAAUCUCCCGGCUUAACUGGGAGGGUGCGCCGAAGACUGGGUAGCUGGAGUGAAGGAAAGGCAGGCGGAAUUCCUGGUGUAGCGGUGAAAUGCGUAGAUAUCAGGAGGAACACCGGCGGUGUAGACGGCUUGCUAGACCAUAACUGACGCUGAGGCACGAAAGCGUGGGUAGCAAACA
This 402-nucleotide ribosomal RNA is filed under the name uncultured bacterium. Its description in RNAcentral is "bacterial SSU rRNA". It matches the Rfam family "Bacterial small subunit ribosomal RNA", at positions 355 to 774 of the family's 1533-position model. The record is from RNAcentral.